RNAcentral lists this long non-coding RNA (682 nucleotides) under Marmota monax (woodchuck). The record is from RNAcentral. Lineage: Eukaryota; Metazoa; Chordata; Mammalia; Rodentia; Sciuridae.
AAGGUUCUGGAAAAGCCAAAUGCAGAUUGAGUAUUCCUUGAGGAUUAGCAUUUUGGAAUUUUAAAGUGCUAUAUUGAUAAGCAGAAAUAAGUCAGAGGAGGGAGAACCCUAUAAGACCAUGAGCUAUUUUUGUAUUGCUAGUGCAAUCUAAGUCUGCAUUGGUGAUUGUAUGCAGUCAAUCCCGGUGCUUCGUGUGGAGUUAAAUAAGAAAUGAGCUGUUAGCCAAGCCAGCUCUGGGAGUGAGGGGGUGGCCUCUUAGGGAGGAGCCGCUCACCCUGACCCAGGAAAUCCUGAACCAGAUUGGCAAAGAAAUUUAUCUAUUUACCUUUGCUUUAACCCCUUAGCUUUCGAGAAUCUCAUUACCUGGGAGAGGGAGGGUGUUCCUCAGGGGAUGGAGGACAUUGGGAAUGGGUAGGAUGAUUCUUCUUUCAGAGAGAGUUUGGUUAUAAGCAGCUGGAAUAAGGCCUGUAAGAGAAGACUCUUAGAUUUAGUCUUUCACAUCCAGGCUUUUCCUAAAAUCCCUGACUGAGGAGAGCUGACAUAUAUACAUGCACUCCAAGUAUUGGCCAAGGUCCCCCCAUAUAAUUAUAUACAGGAAUACCAAGUACCGAUGCUGAAAAUGCCUUCCUGGAGUUGCUCCGAAGUAAACUCUUGACAGCAUAUCAACAGGGUGGAGUGAGGC